RNAcentral lists this ribosomal RNA (253 nucleotides) under uncultured bacterium. RNAcentral describes it as "partial 16S ribosomal RNA". It matches the Rfam family "Bacterial small subunit ribosomal RNA", at positions 524 to 776 of the family's 1533-position model. The record is from RNAcentral.
UACGGAGGAGGCAAGCGUUAUCCGGAAUUAUUGGGCGUAAAGCGUCCGUAGGUGGUUUAGUAAGUCGGAUGUGAAAGCUCGGAGCUCAACUCCGAAAUGGCAUUGGAAACUACCUUGCUCGAGGGUUGGAGGGGGGACUGGAAUUCUCGGUGUAGCAGUGAAAUGCGUAGAUAUCGAGAGGAACACCAGUGGCGAAGGCGAGUCCCUGGACAACUCCUGACACUGAGGCACGAAAGCUAGGGGAGCAGACAGG